UCGUCCCUACGGGACACAGCAGUGGGGGAUAUUGCACAAUGGGGGGAACCCUGAUGCAGCGACGCCGCGUGGGCGAUGGAGUGCUUCGGCAUGUAAAGCCCUAUCAGCAGGGAAGAAAAUGACGGUACCUGACUAAGAAGCCCCGGCUAAAUACGUGCCAGCAGCCGCGGUAAUACGUAUGGGGCAAGCGUUAUCCGGAUUUACUGGGUGUAAAGGGAGCGUAGACGGCCAGACAAGUCUGAAGUGAAAAUCCAGCGCUUAACGUUGGAAGUGCUUUGGAAACUGCCGGGCUAGAGGGCAGGAGG
RNAcentral lists this ribosomal RNA (305 nucleotides) under uncultured bacterium. RNAcentral describes it as "bacterial SSU rRNA". It matches the Rfam family "Bacterial small subunit ribosomal RNA", at positions 334 to 655 of the family's 1533-position model. The record is from RNAcentral.